CAGAUACAGGUGUGACAAUCAUGCUUUACAUUCACGUACAUAAGCAGGUGUGACAACCACACUUUACUUACACGUACAUAUGCAGAUGUGACAAUCAUGCUCACGGUUAAUGGAUAGGUUACGCAAAUGACAAAUGGCGGAACCGUUGAACUUUGAAACUUCGCUAAACUAUGCAUGCACAAUUUAAGGAUACAAUUUGAGCUAAAAGAUCAGCGAACUUAAAAGACUGAAACAUAUUUACAAUGGGAAUGACUGCAUUUGCUGCUUUGCUCCACUGGAUAUAGGAUAAUUCUGAUAGCCAUGUUUGGAAAUUCAGAGUUCUCUUUCUUGGUAAUAGUAAUAGACUAUUUUCAUAUCCAUGCCUAUUUGCGCUUAUACAGGGCCCAGUCGUAAAACAUGGCCACGAGAGGGGUAAUGAGACGCCACCCGGUUUGCCGGAAUGACACGAGUUGUUACGAAUGAUCAUCAGCCAUGUAUAUUCGACUACCGGUUGCGCCAUGAAGCUUGAUUGGCUCAUUAGGUACAGCCAGUACUCGUUCUAACAGACACAUCGUUUAGAUAACUGAAGCCAAACUGUAUUAAAGCUCUCGUGACAGGCACUCCACACAGGGUUACGCGUAACCUGAGUCUAUACAAUCUAAAUGGCAUUAUGGGUAACGAUAAAGCCAUAACACGUAAACUCCUUUAACCAAUUAAAAAGCAUAUAUAGAUUUUACCUGAGGCAAUUACAUUUUAUUCGUUAA
Long non-coding RNA from Haliotis rubra (blacklip abalone), 743 nucleotides. RefSeq lists it as uncharacterized. Lineage: Eukaryota; Metazoa; Mollusca; Gastropoda; Lepetellida; Haliotidae. The record is from RefSeq and is a predicted model, not a curated record. The transcript has 2 exons.